UCAAUAAAAUAAAUAUACAACUCUAGUCUCCAAAACUAGUAUUUUAAUUAAACUAUUCAUUG
Molecule: transfer RNA, 62 nt
Filed under: Cacopsylla citrisuga
Lineage: Eukaryota; Metazoa; Arthropoda; Insecta; Hemiptera; Psyllidae
Description: tRNA-Pro
Source: RNAcentral